RNAcentral lists this ribosomal RNA (523 nucleotides) under uncultured Neogymnomyces. RNAcentral's name for it is "eukaryotic LSU rRNA". It matches the Rfam family "Eukaryotic large subunit ribosomal RNA", at positions 86 to 608 of the family's 3401-position model. Lineage: Eukaryota; Fungi; Ascomycota; Eurotiomycetes; Onygenales; Gymnoascaceae. The record is from RNAcentral.
ACGGCGAGUGAAGCGGCAAGAGCUCAAAUUUGAAAUCUGGCCUCCUAUGGGGGUCCGAAUUGUAAUUUGUAGAGGAUGCUUUGGGUGCGGCCGCGGCGCAAGUCCCUUGGAACAGGGCGUCGCAGAGGGUGAGAACCCCGUCUUGAGUCGCCGGUACGCGCCCGUGCAAAGCUCCUUCGACGAGUCGAGUUGUUUGGGAAUGCAGCUCUAAGUGGGUGGUAAAUUUCAUCUAAAGCUAAAUAUCGGCCGGAGACCGAUAGCGCACAAGUAGAGUGAUCGAAAGGUUAAAAGCACCUUGAAAAGGGAGUUAAAAAGCACGUGAAAUUGUUGAAAGGGAAGCGCUUGCGACCAGACUCGGGCGCGGGGGUUCAGCGGGCAUUCUUGCCCGUGCACUCCGCCGCGCUCCGGGCCAGCAUCAGUUUCGACGGCCGGUCAAAGGCCUCCGGAAUGUGUCGUCCUCCGGGACGUCUUAUAGCCGGGGGUGCAAUGCGGCCAGUUGGGACUGAGGAACGCGCUUCGGCAC